UUAAGCGACUAAGCGUACACGGUGGAUGCCCUGGCAGUCAGAGGCGAUGAAGGACGUGCUAAUCUGCGAUAAGCGUCGGUAAGGUGAUAUGAACCGUUAUAACCGGCGAUUUCCGAAUGGGGAAACCCAGUGUGAUUCGUCACACUAUCAUUAACUGAAUCCAUAGGUUAAUGAGGCGAACCGGGGGAACUGAAACAUCUAAGUACCCCGAGGAAAAGAAAUCAACCGAGAUUCCCCCAGUAGCGGCGAGCGAACGGGGAGCAGCCCAGAGCCUGAAUCAGUGUGUGUGUUAGUGGAAGCGUCUGGAAAGGCGCGCGAUACAGGGUGACAGCCCCGUACACAAAAAUGCACAUAUUGUGAGCUCGAUGAGUAGGGCGGGACACGUGGUAUCCUGUCUGAAUAUGGGGGGACCAUCCUCCAAGGCUAAAUACUCCUGACUGACCGAUAGUGAACCAGUACCGUGAGGGAAAGGCGAAAAGAACCCCGGCGAGGGGAGUGAAAAGAACCUGAAACCGUGUACGUACAAGCAGUGGGAGCACGCUUAGGCGUGUGACUGCGUACCUUUUGUAUAAUGGGUCAGCGACUUAUAUUCUGUAGCAAGGUUAACCGAAUAGGGGAGCCGAAGGGAAACCGAGUCUUAACUGGGCGUUAAGUUGCAGGGUAUAGACCCGAAACCCGGUGAUCUAGCCAUGGGCAGGUUGAAGGUUGGGUAACACUAACUGGAGGACCGAACCGACUAAUGUUGAAAAAUUAGCGGAUGACUUGUGGCUGGGGGUGAAAGGCCAAUCAAACCGGGAGAUAGCUGGUUCUCCCCGAAAGCUAUUUAGGUAGCGCCUCGUGAAUUCAUCUCCGGGGGUAGAGCACUGUUUCGGCAAGGGGGUCAUCCCGACUUACCAACCCGAUGCAAACUGCGAAUACCGGAGAAUGUUAUCACGGGAGACACACGGCGGGUGCUAACGUCCGUCGUGAAGAGGGAAACAACCCAGACCGCCAGCUAAGGUCCCAAAGUCAUGGUUAAGUGGGAAACGAUGUGGGAAGGCCCAGACAGCCAGGAUGUUGGCUUAGAAGCAGCCAUCAUUUAAAGAAAGCGUAAUAGCUCACUGGUCGAGUCGGCCUGCGCGGAAGAUGUAACGGGGCUAAACCAUGCACCGAAGCUGCGGCAGCGACGCUUAUGCGUUGUUGGUAGGGGAGGCGUUCUGUAAGCCUGCGAAGGUGUGCUGUGAGGCAUGCUGGAGGUAUCAGAAGUGCGAAUGCUGACAUAAGUAACGAUAAAGCGGGUGAAAAGCCCGCUCGCCGGAAGACCAAGGGUUCCUGUCCAACGUUAAUCGGGGCAGGGUGAGUCGACCCCUAAGGCGAGGCCGAAAGGCGUAGUCGAUGGGAAACAGGUUAAUAUUCCUGUACUUGGUGUUACUGCGAAGGGGGGACGGAGAAGGCUAUGUUGGCCGGGCGACGGUUGUCCCGGUUUAAGCGUGUAGGCUGGUUUUCCAGGCAAAUCCGGAAAAUCAAGGCUGAGGCGUGAUGACGAGGCACUACGGUGCUGAAGCAACAAAUGCCCUGCUUCCAGGAAAAGCCUCUAAGCAUCAGGUAACAUCAAAUCGUACCCCAAACCGACACAGGUGGUCAGGUAGAGAAUACCAAGGCGCUUGAGAGAACUCGGGUGAAGGAACUAGGCAAAAUGGUGCCGUAACUUCGGGAGAAGGCACGCUGAUAUGUAGGUGAAGUCCCUCGCGGAUGGAGCUGAAAUCAGUCGAAGAUACCAGCUGGCUGCAACUGUUUAUUAAAAACACAGCACUGUGCAAACACGAAAGUGGACGUAUACGGUGUGACGCCUGCCCGGUGCCGGAAGGUUAAUUGAUGGGGUUAGCGCAAGCGAAGCUCUUGAUCGAAACCCCGGUAAACGGCGGCCGUAACUAUAACGGUCCUAAGGUAGCGAAAUUCCUUGUCGGGUAAGUUCCGACCUGCACGAAUGGCGUAAUGAUGGCCAGGCUGUCUCCACCCGAGACUCAGUGAAAUUGAACUCGCUGUGAAGAUGCAGUGUACCCGCGGCAAGACGGAAAGACCCCGUGAACCUUUACUAUAGCUUGACACUGAACAUUGAGCCUUGAUGUGUAGGAUAGGUGGGAGGCUUUGAAGUGUGGACGCCAGUCUGCAUGGAGCCGACCUUGAAAUACCACCCUUUAAUGUUUGAUGUUCUAACGUUGACCCGUGAUCCGGGUUGCGGACAGUGUCUGGUGGGUAGUUUGACUGGGGCGGUCUCCUCCUAAAGAGUAACGGAGGAGCACGAAGGUUGGCUAAUCCUGGUCGGACAUCAGGAGGUUAGUGCAAUGGCAUAAGCCAGCUUGACUGCGAGCGUGACGGCGCGAGCAGGUGCGAAAGCAGGUCAUAGUGAUCCGGUGGUUCUGAAUGGAAGGGCCAUCGCUCAACGGAUAAAAGGUACUCCGGGGAUAACAGGCUGAUACCGCCCAAGAGUUCAUAUCGACGGCGGUGUUUGGCACCUCGAUGUCGGCUCAUCACAUCCUGGGGCUGAAGUAGGUCCCAAGGGUAUGGCUGUUCGCCAUUUAAAGUGGUACGCGAGCUGGGUUUAGAACGUCGUGAGACAGUUCGGUCCCUAUCUGCCGUGGGCGCUGGAGAACUGAGGGGGGCUGCUCCUAGUACGAGAGGACCGGAGUGGACGCAUCACUGGUGUUCGGGUUGUCAUGCCAAUGGCACUGCCCGGUAGCUAAAUGCGGAAGAGAUAAGUGCUGAAAGCAUCUAAGCACGAAACUUGCCCCGAGAUGAGUUCUCCCUGACUCCUUGAGAGUCCUGAAGGAACGUUGAAGACGACGACGUUGAUAGGCCGGGUGUGUAAGCGCAGCGAUGCGUUGAGCUAACCGGUACUAAUGAACCGUGAGGCUUAACCUU
RNAcentral lists this ribosomal RNA (2901 nucleotides) under Escherichia coli DEC15B. RNAcentral describes it as "bacterial LSU rRNA". It matches the Rfam family "Bacterial large subunit ribosomal RNA". The record is from RNAcentral. Lineage: Bacteria; Pseudomonadati; Pseudomonadota; Gammaproteobacteria; Enterobacterales; Enterobacteriaceae.